RNA transcript from Drosophila erecta, 4006 nucleotides. It is a transcript of the gene named protein held out wings, with no coding region annotated. The record is from RefSeq and is a predicted model, not a curated record. The transcript is spliced from 9 exons. Lineage: Eukaryota; Metazoa; Arthropoda; Insecta; Diptera; Drosophilidae.
CGUUUUGUGCUCUUCGCUUCGCAUUCAGUUUCUUUUUCUCUUUCUUUGCGCACGGUUCAGUGGUAGGAAAACUAGGAGGAAUCGUUCAGUAAAGUCCCGAGAUCCGUUCGCUAUUCCCCGACUCGAAUAAAAUCCAUAUACACAUAUAUAUCAAAUAAACAAAGGAAAGGAGUCCUUAGAAAAGAGAAUAACGUGUUAAAAGUAGCAAAAACGAAUUAAAAAAGAAGUGUGCAAUAAGUAAAGAAAGCAGAGACCCAAGGAAAGUUGAAAGUUGAAAACCAGAAUCUCGUCGAGAACAAAACAAAAAGUCCCCAAAAACACACACACGCACGCAACAAAAUGAGUGUCUGUGAGAGUAAAGCCGUUGUGCAACAGCAACUGCAGCAGCACUUGCAGCAACAGGCAGCCGCAGCAGUUGUUGCGGUCGCGCAACAGCAGCAGGCUCAGGCCCAAGCUCAAGCCCAAGCCCAAGCUCAGGCCCAGGCUCAGGCGCAGCAGCAAGCGCAGCAGCAGCAGGCGCCGCAGGUGGUGGUCCCCAUGACCCCGCAGCACUUGACCCCGCAGCAGCAGCAGCAGAGCACACAGAGCAUCGCCGACUAUCUGGCCCAGUUGCUCAAGGACCGCAAGCAGCUGGCCGCCUUCCCCAACGUCUUCACCCACGUCGAACGCCUGCUGGACGAAGAAAUUGCACGCGUGCGCGCCUCACUGUUCCAGAUCAAUGGGGUCAAGAAGGAGCCCCUCACUCUGCCCGAACCCGAGGGCUCUGUGGUGACGAUGAACGAGAAGGUUUAUGUGCCAGUGCGCGAGCAUCCAGAUUUCAACUUUGUCGGCCGCAUUUUGGGACCGCGUGGCAUGACCGCCAAGCAAUUGGAGCAGGAGACCGGUUGCAAGAUCAUGGUCCGCGGCAAGGGUUCCAUGCGCGACAAGAAGAAGGAGGACGCCAACCGUGGCAAGCCCAACUGGGAGCAUCUGUCCGAUGACCUGCAUGUCCUGAUAACCGUCGAGGACACCGAGAACCGUGCCACAGUUAAGUUGGCCCAGGCCGUAGCUGAAGUACAGAAGUUGCUCGUGCCGCAAGCCGAAGGCGAAGAUGAGCUAAAGAAACGUCAACUUAUGGAAUUGGCGAUUAUUAAUGGCACUUAUAGGGACACAACAGCGAAAUCUGUCGCAGCUUUCUCAUGCGUUGGCUCUGCUUCUUAUCUGUAUCCCGCAGUGUGCGAUGAGGAGUGGCGCCGCCUGGUUGCCGCCUCUGAUAGCCGCCUGCUGACGUCCACCGGCCUGCCCGGCCUUGCCGCCCAGAUCCGUGCCCCCGCCACCGCCCCGCUGGGCGCCCCAUUGAUCCUGAAUCCCCGGAUGACCGUACCCACAACGGCGGCCAGCAUAUUGUCCGCCCAGGCAGCUCCGACAGCCGCCUUCGACCAGACCGGCCAUGGAAUGAUCUUCGCACCGUACGAUUAUGCGAACUACGCCGCCCUAGCCGGCAAUCCUCUGCUCACGGAGUAUGCUGAUCAUAGCGUAGGCGCCAUUAAGCAGCAGCGUCGUUUGGCGACUAACCGCGAGCAUCCCUAUCAGCGAGCAACGGUCGGAGUGCCAGCCAAGCCGGCGGGUUUCAUUGAGAUACAGUAAAUACAAUGCAUAGUGAAUCGGGAUAAGCGAAGCACUAUAAACUCAGAAUGUAACACUUUAAAUCACACCAUAUCGGCGAAAGCAACUUUACCACUUUUAAUAUCAAUAUUUGUACGAAAAAGGAAAGAAACCAUUUAAGAACAACGGAAAUCGAAGGAUUGUGUUUGUCUGCCCGUUUGAUUGCGUUCACCAGGCAACCGAUCACUUUAGUUCAAUUAUUUAAAAUUUUGUUUGCUAUUUAUUUUGAUACCAAUGCUGCUCAUAACUGACCAUCCGUAAUCCAACCCCAAAUCCACUGUACCACUGUAUAUCCGAUGAAACCUGGCCGGAAACGUUGGCCUGGCCUGGCCGCUCUGCCCUGAUCAGGGUUCUGAAAAAGAAUUUUCAUGCGCACCGCCUCCACAGAUGAGCACGGAAUCAGAGCAGCAGCAGCAUCCCAGCUAUCCCAGCCAUACCAACCAUACCAGCCAUCCCAGCCAGGCCGAAAGCAGAGCCAAGUGUGUGUUGUGAAUGUGCUUACUUGAAGCUAACAAAACAAAAAAAAAAGAAAAAGAAAACCGUAACCAAAAGCCAGAAAUCUGAGCCACCACAUGUCACUUGCACAACUACUAAAACACUGAACCCCGAACUCUGAACUCUGAACUUAUUUGCCACAUGAGCAGCAGAUGCGGCAGAUGCAGCACAUCAACACCUGCAACAGCACAACAGCAAAAGCAUCAGUAACAGCAACAGCAUCAGCAACAGCAUCAGCAACAGCAUCAGCAACAGCAAAAGCAACAGCAGCAACAUCAGUAUGUAUUGAAUCUUGUGGCCAUUAAACUGUUACGUUUUGCCAGCAACAAAACAAGGCAAUUAAGCAAACAAUUGAUAAGAGAAUCAAACAUAGAGCUUAGUUUAAUUAUCAUAAUCUAAAGGAAAAUACAAGUUAGUUCUUAGUGUAAAAGUUCAACGAACAAAAACAUACUUAAUGCAAACAUAUACAUAUAUAUAUAUAUAUAUAUUUAAAUAUAUACAUCCAAAUGCAUAUACAAGUCUGUAUAUAAUAACUCCCAAAAAAAAACCCCAAACAACAAAAAUCUAAGAAAAUCAUGUUAACGGAAUCUCAUCCAAGAAACUCUACCCAACCAACAAAAACUGUUUUAAUUUUUUUAAAAUCUGCCCUUUUAACUCAAAUUGCAAAAAUGAAUCUUUACCCCUUUCAUUGUAAUCCUUUUAAUGGAUUGUGCAAGAGAUCUAUUCAAAUCCUUAUUGUGUCGGAUAUAGAUUUUCACCCCUCGAUUAAGCAUAAUCUAUUUUUGUUAAACUGACGCUAAUUCUUGUUAAUGAAGUAUUUUUUGAUUAUGUUAUUGCAUAUCUAUAUUUUAUGUAUAGAUUUCGUACCCCACUUCAAAUUGAUUGUGUGAAAAGUAAGUGGGGGCGAAACAGAAACAACAUAUAUAACACAUUUAACAGCCAUAUUUAGUUAAUGAAACAAACAUAUAUUAUGAUAAUAGCAUCGAGCAUUCAUAAUGUACAACUAAACGCUAAACUUAAAUUAUUUGUAAUAUUUUAAAGCUAAUGUAUUAUAUGCAGAAAUAAACACAAACUCACUUUUUUUAAACGAAUAAUUGUUCUUCGAAAGCGAUGGCCACAACAAAAAGAGAAUUCUUUAAUUUAAAAUAAAUAUCACGCCUGCAGUAAUGGCAAUAAUGUAUCUAUUUUAUAAUAGUGAAUGAAAUAAAAGAAAUGCAGAAAAAUUAGCACAGAACAAAACUAGAAAGCGAAAGUAAAUUGCAUUUAAUUAAUGGUACAAAGCAACCAACGCAAAGUUGUUGCAAACUUUAUUUUAAAUUAAAGAAUUUGCAUUAAAUUUUGUUGAGAAAAGCAAAUCUUAUUAAUAUGUGCCUUAAACAAGUUGUAAAAUUGGCACGAAUCAAAAUGAAAAUUAAAUUUAAAAACAAAUGCAAAGUAUACAGAAACUCUGUUGAAAUUAUUCUGCGAAAUGUGAGACUUAUACUCAGAAACAAGACGAUGUUCAACCGCGUGGGAGUUGACUAAUCUUUUAAUGUUAAUAAAUCAUAAUCAUAAUGUAUAACUUUUAUUGAUAAUGACGGCAAUCGUGCAAUCGUAGCAAACCUUGCUUAUGAUGAGUUCUGAAUUAAUUUUAACACGAUGAAAAUGUAAUUCUUUCGAUAAUUGAAUAACAGAAAGAAAGAAUCGUCUAGUUUUAUUCGCAUUACAUAAAUCGUAUGCUGUGCCCCUAACAUCGCAUUAAAAACAUCAUUCAUCUCCAUUGCCAGCAUUGUAUAAUUUUAACUUCAUAAUUUGAGAAGGAAAUCAUUGAUAUUUUGUGAGGUAAUCCAUAUGUUCAAAACCUAAUAAUAUAUAUAAAGAAUGCACA